This 474-nucleotide ribosomal RNA is filed under the name uncultured bacterium. RNAcentral describes it as "bacterial SSU rRNA". It matches the Rfam family "Bacterial small subunit ribosomal RNA", at positions 28 to 507 of the family's 1533-position model. The record is from RNAcentral.
GACGAACGCUGGCGGCGUGCCUCAAACAUGCAAGUCGAGCGAGGUGAAACCGAACCGCAAGGUGAGGUUGAACCUAGCGGCGAACGGGUGAGUAACACGUGGGUAACCUGCCUGGAAGAUCGGGAUAACGGCUCGAAAGAGUCGCUAAUACCGGAUAAUGUCCUGGUGCUGCAUGGCACCGGGAAGAAAGGGGAAACCCGCUUUCAGAUGGGCCCGCGCCCCAUCAGCUAGUUGGUAAGGUAACGGCUUACCAAGGCGACGACGGGUAGCCGGUCUGAGAGGACGAUCGGCCACACUGGGACUGAGAUACGGCCCAGACUCCUACGGGAGGCAGCAGUUGGGAAUCUUAGGCAAUGGGCGAAAGCCUGACCUAGCGACGCCGCGUGAGGGAAGAAGGCCUUCGGGUCGUAAACCUCUGUCAUGGGGGACGAAGAAAGUGGCGGUACCCAGGAGGAAGCCCCUGCUAACUACGUG